Molecule: ribosomal RNA, 253 nt
Filed under: uncultured bacterium
Lineage: Bacteria
Description: partial 16S ribosomal RNA
Rfam family: Bacterial small subunit ribosomal RNA
Source: RNAcentral
UACGUAGGUGGCAAGCGUUGUCCGGAUUUAUUGGGUUUAAAGGGUGCGUAGGCGGUUCCAUAAGUCAGUGGUGAAAUACGGCAGCUCAACUGUCGAGGUGCCAUUGAUACUGCGGAACUUGAGUACUGAUGAGGUAGGCGGAAUUGACGGUGUAGCGGUGAAAUGCUUAGAUAUCGCCAAGAACACCGAUAGCGAAGGCAGCUUACCAAGCAGUAACUGACGCUGAGGCACGAAAGUGCGGGGAUCAAACAGG